RNAcentral lists this transfer RNA (72 nucleotides) under Muntiacus reevesi (Reeves' muntjac). It matches the Rfam family "tRNA". From Rfam's summary of the family: Transfer RNA (tRNA) molecules are approximately 80 nucleotides in length. Their secondary structure includes four short double-helical elements and three loops (D, anti-codon, and T loops). Further hydrogen bonds mediate the characteristic L-shaped molecular structure. tRNAs have two regions of fundamental functional importance: the anti-codon, which is responsible for specific mRNA codon recognition, and the 3' end, to which the tRNAs corresponding amino acid is attached (by aminoacyl-tRNA synthetases). tRNAs cope with the degeneracy of the genetic code in two manners: having more than one tRNA (with a specific anti-codon) for a particular amino acid; and 'wobble' base-pairing, i.e. permitting non-standard base-pairing at the 3rd anti-codon position. RNAcentral also lists the same sequence under 4 other names. The record is from Rfam by way of RNAcentral. Lineage: Eukaryota; Metazoa; Chordata; Mammalia; Artiodactyla; Cervidae.
UCCCUGAUAGCUCAGCUGGUAAAGAAUCCGCCUGCAAUGCGGGAGACCUGGGUUCGAUCCCUGGGUUGGGAA